AACAGCAACCGUGGGAGGGUCCAGAAAUCACCCCCUCUCUAGAGGCUGGAGAGAACAAGGGGUCUGAGGCCCAACUGUCCUACAGUAACAGAGGGCUCAGACAUCUACUUGCCUUGCUGAGCCCCUCUGCUGACAAAGAUCCUGGUAUCUCCAUAGGGGGCUGAGGCUUCGAGUGGACCAUGGGUGCUGCCAGCAGGUUAGCUGCUGACACAGCACCUCUCCCAGAGUGAUCUGGGACCUGCCUCGGGAACCCUCAUUUUAAAAGGCCCCGCCACCCUGUGGGAAGACACGCAGACUGGCUCAGAGGUCUUGGACGUCCUAGUAAGGGCUCAAUGACAGUGCCUGAGCUGGUCUUGAACACCUGAACUCAUUAUCUUCCUGCUUCAACCUGCCAACCACCAGGAAGACUGGAAUUGUUUCCACCCUGCUCAGUUUUCCUCAUGACAUCAGUUAGCACACACUGCAUACCUACAACGCACCUGGCCUGGUGUGUACAAUGCUAUCCCUUACCGGAGCCCGUCUCUCUAGAAUAAACCAGGGAGAGACAUAUCCACGCACAGACUCAAUGCUGGAAGGGCAUCGGAAACCCGCAGGACAUCCUAGCAGGGGCUGGUAUGAAGGAGGGUAACGGUAGACAUGUUCUGUCUACACUUUUGUGCUUUCCAGGUGUCAAAAGAACAUUCUACCCUUCUGUAAGUGGGAGACGUCAUAAUCAAUGACGUCUUUCAUUUAAAAAGAAAAAUGGAACCUUC
This 752-nucleotide long non-coding RNA is filed under the name Mus caroli (Ryukyu mouse). RNAcentral's name for it is "lncRNA (MGP_CAROLIEiJ_G0002681.1)". The record is from RNAcentral. Lineage: Eukaryota; Metazoa; Chordata; Mammalia; Rodentia; Muridae.